CGGGUGUAGUUCAGCGGUAGAACACCAGCCUUCCAAGCUGGUUGUGUGGGUUCGACUCCCAUCACCC
RNAcentral lists this transfer RNA (67 nucleotides) under chicken gut metagenome. It matches the Rfam family "tRNA". From Rfam's summary of the family: Transfer RNA (tRNA) molecules are approximately 80 nucleotides in length. Their secondary structure includes four short double-helical elements and three loops (D, anti-codon, and T loops). The record is from RNAcentral.